RNAcentral lists this long non-coding RNA (486 nucleotides) under Salvia miltiorrhiza (redroot sage). RNAcentral describes it as "long non-coding RNA (SMIL_LNC010066)". The record is from RNAcentral. Lineage: Eukaryota; Viridiplantae; Streptophyta; Magnoliopsida; Lamiales; Lamiaceae.
CUGCACAAGCCCAUUCCAAUAAAAAGUGAUAACUAGAAAAAACCUUUGAAUGGCAUGAUAAGAUUGGAUAACUAAUUGUUUAACCGAUGAUGAAAGAUGACAUUUAAAGUUUCCAUUGAUGUCUUCCUCAAAACUAUUUUUCUUUCAAUUGAGAACGAAACGAAGCAUCUAUCCUCUGCUCAUACAAAGGGAUAAAAGCUGAGAAGCAUCCAUAUGAUCAUCGUUUGAGUUCGUCUUUCAUAGUAGACUAUGGAACAUUACAAAUAUACAAGAAAGAUUCAUAUUCAAGAUUCCUAUCUUACUCAAUACUCAUUCUGCAGGAUGGAAGAGGCUGAACUCGGCAGAUACAUCACAAACUAUCAAUUUGCCUUUGCACCUUAUCAAACCACCCACAUUUUUGAAAUCGCGCAUUUAAUCAAUGCUUAUUAUCAUUCAAAACAUGCCGACUGGGAAAAUAUUACGGAUAAAAAAUUCCUAACAUUCUCA